CGGUAGUAACGCUGAAGACUUUAGCUUGCUAAAGUUGGAAGAGUUGCGAACGGGUGAGUAACGCGUAGGUAACCUGCCUACUAGCGGGGGAUAACUAUUGGAAACGAUAGCUAAUACCGCAUAACAGCAUUUAACCCAUGUUAGAUGCUUGAAAGGAGCAAUUGCUUCACUAGUAGAUGGACCUGCGUUGUAUUAGCUAGUUGGUGAGGUAACGGCUCACCAAGGCGACGAUACAUAGCCGACCUGAGAGGGUGAUCGGCCACACUGGGACUGAGACACGGCCCAGACUCCUACGGGAGGCAGCAGUAGGGAAUCUUCGGCAAUGGGGGCAACCCUGACCGAGCAACGCCGCGUGAGUGAAGAAGGUUUUCGGAUCGUAAAGCUCUGUUGUAAGAGAAGAACGUGUGUGAGAAUGGAAAGUUCACACAGUGACGGUAACUUACCAGAAAGGGACGGCUAACUACGUGCCAGCAGCCGCGGUAAUACGUAGGUCCCGAGCGUUGUCCGGAUUUAUUGGGCGUAAAGCGAGCGCAGGCGGUUUAAUAAGUCUGAAGUUAAAGGCAGUGGCUUAACCAUUGUUCGCUUUGGAAACUGUUAGACUUGAGUGCAGAAGGGGAGAGUGGAAUUCCAUGUGUAGCGGUGAAAUGCGUAGAUAUAUGGAGGAACACCGGUGGCGAAAGCGGCUCUCUGGUCUGUAACUGACGCUGACGCUCGGAAGCGUGCGGAGCAUACAGGAUUAGAUACCCUGGUAGUCAACGCCGUACACGAUGAGUGCUAGGUGUUACGCCCUUUCCGGUGCUUAUUGCCGCGGCUAACGCGAUAAUCCACUCCGCCUGUCGAGGACGACGUCAAGAUGAUGCUCAAACGAAAUAGGGGUUAGCCCGCGGCCUCUAACGUACGAUGUGAUUUAGUCGCGCUAGGCAUCGCAGCAUA
Molecule: ribosomal RNA, 933 nt
Filed under: Streptococcus infantarius
Lineage: Bacteria; Bacillati; Bacillota; Bacilli; Lactobacillales; Streptococcaceae
Description: bacterial SSU rRNA
Rfam family: Bacterial small subunit ribosomal RNA
Source: RNAcentral